CCUUUUUCUAGCUAUAUAACGAAUUAUAAAAAAAUAUUUCAAAAGAAUUUCCGUCUUGUCUCCCGAAGUUAAAUGGAUUUAUGCCACUUUCUGGCUAUAAACAGAACUUUGUAGACAGAAGAGAGGUAAGAUUUCAGAUAAGUAAAGAUAGGAAGAAAUCACGUCAGGAUAAAAACACUAAAAUACCAAAAGAGAGCCAUGAUCAGUUACAAACCAUCCUCAACUAGCACUUGAGUCAUACUCGCCCUCAAAUCACACUCAACCUCAUUCAAUACCUCAUAUGCUACAACCAAACAUCACUUGAAUCAUACCCAUCCUUACAACCAUCAAACUCUUAAACACUCUCAAUCACGUUCGGCUUCACCACCCUACCGACAUCAAUGCCAUCACCUCCUCGAACGUCUGAAACGACCAUCGUUCAAGCCACCUAGCAAGGAAAAUAAAGAGACGACAUUAGUAACCGUUAAAUAACAAAUCAUCACUUCGAAGAGUGAAGGUGCACAAAUCAAAAGUCACUAAAAGACAUUUUAGACACAUUUUAAAAUAUCAUCAUCAGCAUUCCCAUCAUGUUUUAACCAUGACUUGAAUAUUAAUAUAAAUAUAAUUCUACACAUAAUCUGAUUUUAUGCUUGGUAAAUUACAUCUGAAUGAAGCUAAAUUGAACGUCACCUUAGAGGAAUUCAAGUGGCCAGUAAUGGCUUAGGCGAUAAGAAACUUGAUUCAUAUGGGAUAAAAAAAGCCCCCUGGGCAGCAGUGUACUUAAACAAUGUCAUUUGUUGAUUUAAAUAAUAACACCUAAGGGCAUAGUAGCAUGAUUUGAAAUAUACAAAUGCUA
This 835-nucleotide long non-coding RNA is filed under the name Linum usitatissimum (flax). RNAcentral describes it as "long non-coding RNA (LUSI_LNC007040)". The record is from RNAcentral. Lineage: Eukaryota; Viridiplantae; Streptophyta; Magnoliopsida; Malpighiales; Linaceae.